GAGUUUGAUCGUGGCUCAGAUUGAACGCUGGCGGCAUGCCUUACACAUGCAAGUCGAACGGCAGCACGGGAGCUUGCUCCUGGUGGCGAGUGGUGAACGGGUGAGUAAUGCAUCGGAACGUAUCCUGGAGUGGGGGAUAACGUAGCGAAAGUUACGCUAAUACCGCAUAUUCUGUGAGCAGGAAAGCGGGGGACCUUCGGGCCUCGCGCUCUUGGAGCGGCCGAUGUCGGAUUAGCUAGUUGGUGAGGUAAAGGCUCACCAAGGCGACGAUCCGUAGCAGGUCUGAGAGGAUGAUCUGCCACACUGGAACUGAGACACGGUCCAGACUCCUACGGGAGGCAGCAGUGGGGAAUUUUGGACAAUGGGGGCAACCCUGAUCCAGCCAUGCCGCGUGAGUGAAGAAGGCCUCGGUUGUAAG
This 418-nucleotide ribosomal RNA is filed under the name bacterium enrichment culture clone ALO1_GLFRUDD03HCDSV. Its description in RNAcentral is "bacterial SSU rRNA". It matches the Rfam family "Bacterial small subunit ribosomal RNA", at positions 9 to 429 of the family's 1533-position model. The record is from RNAcentral.